RNAcentral lists this ribosomal RNA (398 nucleotides) under uncultured prokaryote. RNAcentral's name for it is "partial 16S ribosomal RNA". The record is from RNAcentral.
CCCUACGGGGCGCACCAAAUCGUCGUUCUGGGGGUUCCAGUCGUCGUAGGGCGAGAUGUGCAAUCCGCCGUAAACGCCGUACACCUUGUCGCCCCCUUUCAUGUUGUUCUUGAUGUACUCCAGGAGGGUGAUCAGGCCCAUGUGACAGCAUCCCGUAAUCGUCGCCACGCCCUUUCCGGCGACGUUGCACACGAGCACCUGCUCGCCCCAGACGCCGCGCCCGCACGGGCAGGCAAAGGUGACGGCCGCCACGCCGGGAUAGAGGGGAUAUAGCUUCUUAAGGUCGUGCUUGAUCAGCUUUCCCUUGAAGGGGAUCGAAUUCUUGAUAGGCGGCUUGGGAAAAUUGCCCCCGGACAUGAGCUUGUAGCUGUCUUCCAUGAAGGAAUUGGCGGGGGGGC